ACCUGGGACAGCUCAGUCUGUAGAGCAUGGGAUUUUCAAUCUCAGGUUCAUGGUUUCGAACCCCACACUGGGCA
This is a non-coding RNA of Podarcis lilfordi (Lilford's wall lizard), 74 nucleotides long. NCBI's taxonomy places the organism in Eukaryota, Metazoa, Chordata, Lepidosauria, Squamata, Lacertidae. The record is from the annotation of a GenBank genome assembly.